Aethalodelphis obliquidens (Pacific white-sided dolphin) is the source of this 3757-nucleotide long non-coding RNA. RefSeq lists it as uncharacterized. The record is from RefSeq and is a predicted model, not a curated record. Lineage: Eukaryota; Metazoa; Chordata; Mammalia; Artiodactyla; Delphinidae. The transcript is spliced from 3 exons.
ACAACCUAACCUGUCAUACAGUGCCAGGUGUCGUGAUGGUCAUGUGAUGGGGAGUGGUGACUGUCAUAGUUGACUGGGGGCGGCCUCGGUGGGCAGGUGACGGGAGAGCUGAGACCCAGGACAGGGACAGCAAAGCCAAGUCCCGGAGGAAGGAAUGAACUUAGUGAGUUAGAGGAAUAGAAGGAAAGCAACUCCAGAAGGCUUACCCACAGCUGGGUCUUACUUUACAUGUGAUGGGAAGCUGACUUGGAGGAUGUGGUCACCUGAUUUCCAUUUUUAAAAAAGGUAACUUUGGAGACUGGAUUAGCAUUAGAGGGAGCAGGAAACCUGAUUGGCAGUCCAUUAACCGUCGUCUAGCCAAACAGGACGUCGCCUUGGAAGGCCACUGGAGAUGGAGUAAAUCAGAGAGAUGUGGAAUCUGCUUUGGAGGCAGGGCCAGCAGGAUGAAAUAAGAAUCCAGGAUGCUGCUGCAGUCUUGGGGAGGUGCUCACGUGGAGUGUGAGGUCUCGCCGGACCCCAGGCUGGCAGGUGGCCUUUGUCUCCGUGAGUCAGAAGGGCAUCAAACCACGGCCCGAGGUUUAACCGCGAAGCCCUGCCCCUGGCACCGAGCAGGUCCUCCCCCCCCCCACCCCCUUCCCCUCUGCGUUUCAUUUUACUCGUCCAGUCCCAACAGAAGGCUCUUCAUAAGGCACCGUCGUCAGUUUAUAGUGCUUGCAGUGUUUUAACACUUUAAUGACAUGACAGCCAAUUUUAUUCUGUCCUGGGAAUUACUCUCUUCUGUUUCUGUUUCUCUCCCUCCCUCUCUCUCUUCUCCUCCUCCUCCCGUCUCACUGUUCCUGUGAUUAUUUCUUUUGGAAAUAAUUCCUCUCACACUCUGCCUCCAUAAAUCUCUGAAUCCCGGCAGAUGGAACAAGGCUGCUAUUACGAGGGAACAGAAUCAACAGGGAAGCGGCAAGCGGGAGGCAAGCUUUAUGCUCUGUGGUUUCGCCCCAGUAGGAGGACGUGAUGGCACCUCCAGGACAAAAGGUUCAUCUUUUCAACUACUUUGACUUCUCAGGAGCCCCCCAGCCCUGUGGUCUUUUUAUGAGAGAACUGUUUUCACCUCCUUGGCUCUGCACAUGUUUUCUACAUAAUAUUAAACAGUAACCUUUGAGUCCCCACAUACUGGACGCACAGACCACAGUACACACAGACACGCACACACACACACGCACACACACACUCUGGCAAAGAUAAAACAACUUUUAACUUAAUUUGGCUCUUCCUUUUUUUUCUUUAACACCUUGAGAUAUAAUUUACAUGCUGUAAAAUUCACCCAUUUUUAGCCAUGUAGUUCGAUGUUUUUCUUAUUUACCGAGUUGUAUACUGGCUGUUUCUUUUUGAAAAUGGAGCCCGUGGGUGAACAUUUUGACCCCACGUGCUCCCUCCUCACUUUGAAAGGUGACAUCUAAAGUGCAGAGAGCAACUUCUGUUUCACCCCCAAAAUAGUUGUUUUAUUCAUUCUGCCAUUUACAACUUACUUCCUGUGUUUUGAUUCUGAGCUGCUCAGACCUGCUUCUUAGAAGCCAGGUGGGAUUCAUUUUUUACACUGUCACGAAGUUUCUCUUGUGUUAGAGGAAUUUUCUGUUUGCUUGUUUGUUUUGUUAGUGUUUAGUGAGUCUUCAGAUCUUUGUUUCAUCUGCUGGGCUAAUUAGAGAGACUUGAAAUGUAUCUUUGUGACACGAGAGACUAUAUAGAAAUAUUUGGUAUUUAAAGCUCAGCUCAAACGGUCACAGCAUUCUGACUGCUGAGAUUGGUAAAAAGAAAAAAAAAUGAAGUUACCAAGAAAUAGAAAUAGGGCAUGGAGGCCUAGAACUUUUUCCUAAUAUUACAUCUUCAUCUAUAGUUCGGUCUUGAUAUCUGAGUCUUUCUCAUCUGAAAAGCAGAAAUGAAAAUAAUCACUUUAGGAGAUCUGCCUGAGGACUGCAUGAGCUAAUUCACUUGAAAACACCUAGAAUGCUAACAAUUUUUAAAAAUUUAUAAAUGUUCAUUGGAUACAAAUCCUAAGGAACUUCACCAAUGGCAUAAGGAUCGUGUUUUGGCCACGACACGGUACAUUAAUAAAAGCAUAGCACCUGCUGUUGAAGACUGUGUACCAGCUUAACCAAUUGUUCAACGAACAGGUAAUGACGCUUGCUGUGUGCCAGGCACCGGGGAUAGAAUGGUGGACAGGCAGGUACAGUUGGAUGGAAGAGAGAUGUUCAACACAUAGUUGAGCAAAUAAGUAUCUAAGUACAAACUGUGCAAGGGUUAAAGAAACCAUUCUGGUAUGUGUGUAUGCAUGUGUGUGUGCGCAUUUAAAGCAAUUUAAGGUAUAUUUUGCUAGUAAAUGUAUACCUAUGGGCAUAGAGAAAUUUUCUGGAACAACUCAUGAGAAAUUGGUUACAAGUGUUUCUUUUUGUACAUAGAUAGGGGAAUGUCUUCUACUUUUUAUUCUGUAACUUUUCUAUGCAAUUUCAAGUUUCUAACUAUAAGCAUGUACUUUUGUUUAGCUGUUUAAAUAUCAGUAGGCUUCUCUGAUCAGUAGGCUGGGAGUCCAUUAUUAUUUUCUUCAUUAGACUUCUAUUAAAAAACAACCUGUUAUUUAAAAUGAACAAAUGAUUAACCGCUUGCAAUAUUUAACUUGUCAUGCCAAUUAAAUAUUAAAUAUUACACUUGAGAAGACAAAGGUCAUUUACAAGAGUGCAAGACUGCAUCAACCCACACUAAAUUGUUACCACCUGCUCGCGCCCCCAGUUUGCCCAGACAACACUUUCAUUCAACAGAUAUUUACUGAGCGCCUACUGUGUACUAGGUAGGCAUUGUUCUGAGCACUACUAGAUAAAACAAAGCCAUCAGGGAGUCAGGCUAGAUUCUAGUUGGAGGAAACAGACAAAUAAGUAAACCAAAUACAUAUUUAUAUAUAAUAUGUGCUAUAAAAAAUUAAAGCAGGGCUGGCGGGCAAGUGACGGCUGGUGCCCUCUGUUCAUCAUAUAGAAUACACUCUGUAGUUGUAUCACUGGAAAGAAAGACUGGGAGGCCUGAGAAGGUGCCAUUUCAGCCUGGAUGAGGGAAGGAGGGAAUGAGCCAUGCAGAUAAAUGACUGCCAAAAGGACCAGUAAAGGCUCUGAAAUGGGAAAGCUGGAAACCAGCAAAUCUUGGCAGUAAGUACGUGUACUGACCAUUGCACCAUUCAUUCUGUCCAUUUGUCACAGCGUUCAAAACACUUCAUUUAAAAUUUAAAAAAAAAUACUCAAAAUGAACACUGAUAGCUUCAUUAUUGUACAUACAGGGCUCAGAUUAUGUGGUUCUGGGCACUGCUUCUCUUGUUCGAUAUUUAAUAAAAAAUAGUUGAUGUGAACUAUACAUCCUAGUGAAACAGAGAUACAUCUUUAUUAAGACGUGUUUUAAACUUCUUUAGCCAUAUCGUCAUUCCGAUACAUUUUUAUUAUUCUAACAGUAUCUCAUAAAAUGUGUAUUACUGUACUACAUGCCCAUUUCUAGCCACUGAAAAUUAAAUUAGUGAAUAUUAAUUACUUCACAGUCAUAAGGAAAAGGAUCCUGAGAUGCAUUGUUUCCCGUCUACUCUGAGAUGCUUCCCAGCAGGAGGGGCACAACGAUAGGAUUCUGUGGGUGGGUUGCCCUAUAACAGUGGUUCUCAACCUGAGGCGAUCCGAACGCCCUCCCCACCCCCCUUCUAGGGGACACGUGGCAGCUACAGGAGCCGAGGUUACCUGUC